GGGCAUGUGGCUCAAUGGUAGAGCAGCACACUAGCCAGGGGCAGGUCAUCCAGGGUUUGAUUCCUAGCCUGUCCA
Non-coding RNA from Picea glauca (white spruce), 75 nucleotides. The record is from Rfam. NCBI's taxonomy places the organism in Eukaryota, Viridiplantae, Streptophyta, Pinopsida, Pinales, Pinaceae.